AUUGAACGCUGGCGGCAUGCCUUACACAUGCAAGUCGAACGGUAACAGGUCUUCGGAUGCUGACGAGUGGCGAACGGGUGAGUAAUACAUCGGAACGUGCCUAGUAGUGGGGGAUAACUACUCGAAAGAGUGGCUAAUACCGCAUGAGAUCUACGGAUGAAAGCAGGGGAUCGCAAGACCUUGCGCUACUAGAGCGGCCGAUCGCAGAUUAGGUAGUUGGUGGGAUAAAAGCUUACCAAGCCGACGAUCUGUAGCUGGUCUGAGAGGACGAUCAGCCACACUGGGACUGAGAAACGGCCCAGACUCCUACGGGAGGCAGCAGUGGGGAAUUUUGGACAAUGAGCGCAAGCCUGAUCCAGCAAUGCCGCGUGCAGGAUGAAGGCCUUCGGGUUGUAAACUGCUUUUGUACGGAACGAAAAGCCCCGGGUUAAUACCCUGGGGUCAUGACGGUACCGUAAGAAUAAGCACCGGCUAACUACGUGCCAGCCGCCGCAGUAA
Molecule: ribosomal RNA, 498 nt
Filed under: uncultured bacterium
Lineage: Bacteria
Description: partial 16S ribosomal RNA
Rfam family: Bacterial small subunit ribosomal RNA
Source: RNAcentral